GACGAACGCUGGCGGCGUGCCUAAUACAUGCAAGUCGAGCGCUGAAGGUUGGUACUUGUACCGACUGGAUGAGCAGCGAACGGGUGAGUAACGCGUGGGGAAUCUGCCUUUGAGCGGGGGACAACAUUUGGAAACGAAUGCUAAUACCGCAUAAAAACUUUAAACACAAGUUUUAAGUUUGAAAGAUGCAAUUGCAUCACUCAAAGAUGAUCCCGCGUUGUAUUAGCUAGUUGGUGAGGUAAAGGCUCACCAAGGCGAUGAUACAUAGCCGACCUGAGAGGGUGAUCGGCCACAUUGGGACUGAGACACGGCCCAAACGCCUACGGGAGGCAGCAGUAGGGAAUCUUCGGCAAUGGACGAAAGUCUGACCGAGCAACGCCGCGUGAGUGAAGAAGGUUUUCGGAUCGUAAAACUCUGUUGGUAGAGAAGAACGUUGGUGAGAGUGGAAAGCUCAUCAAGUGACGGUAACUACCCAGAAAGGGACGGCUAACUACGUG
This 497-nucleotide ribosomal RNA is filed under the name uncultured bacterium. Its description in RNAcentral is "partial 16S ribosomal RNA". It matches the Rfam family "Bacterial small subunit ribosomal RNA", at positions 28 to 507 of the family's 1533-position model. The record is from RNAcentral.